RNAcentral lists this ribosomal RNA (301 nucleotides) under uncultured bacterium. RNAcentral describes it as "partial 16S ribosomal RNA". It matches the Rfam family "Bacterial small subunit ribosomal RNA", at positions 509 to 807 of the family's 1533-position model. The record is from RNAcentral.
CAGUAGCCACGGGAAUACCAGCAGCCCAAGUGGUGGUCGCGAUUAUUGGGCGUAAAGAGCUCGUAGGCGGUUUGUCGCGUCUGCCGUGAAAGUCCGGGGCUCAACCCCGGAUCUGCGGUGGGUACGGGCAGACUAGAGUGAUGUAGGGGAGACUGGAAUUCCUGGUGUAGCGGUGAAAUGCGCAGAUAUCAGGAGGAACACCGAUGGCGAAGGCAGGUCUCUGGGCAUUAACUGACGCUGAGGAGCGAAAGCAUGGGGAGCGAACAGGAUUAGAUACCCCUGUAGUCCCUGUCUCUUAUAC